This 524-nucleotide ribosomal RNA is filed under the name uncultured bacterium. Its description in RNAcentral is "partial 16S ribosomal RNA". It matches the Rfam family "Bacterial small subunit ribosomal RNA", at positions 28 to 523 of the family's 1533-position model. The record is from RNAcentral.
GACGAACGCUGGCGGCGUGCCUAAUACAUGCAAGUCGAGCGCAGGAAGCCAUCUGAACCCUUCGGGGGGACGACGGUGGAAUGAGCGGCGGACGGGUGAGUAACACGUAAAGAACCUGCCCAUAGGUCUGGGAUAACCACGAGAAAUCGGGGCUAAUACCGGAUGUGUCAUCGGACCGCAUGGGCCGCUGAUGAAAGGCGCUCCGGCGUCGCCCAUGGAUGGCUUUGCGGUGCAUUAGCUAGUUGGUGGGGUAACGGCCCACCAAGGCGACGAUGCAUAGCCGACCUGAGAGGGUGAUCGGCCACACUGGGACUGAGACACGGCCCAGACUCCUACGGGAGGCAGCAGUAGGGAAUCUUCCACAAUGGACGAAAGUCUGAUGGAGCAACGCCGCGUGAACGAUGAAGGCUUUCGGGUCGUAAAGUUCUGUUGUAAGGGAAGAACAAGUGCCGCAGGCAAUGGCGGCACCUUGACGGUACCUUGCGAGAAAGCCACGGCUAACUACGUGCCAGCCGCCGCGGUAA